CGGCACGGUGAGUAACGCGUAUGCGACCUGCCCGUUGCAGGGGGAUAAUCGGGAGAAAUCCCGUCGUAAUACCGCGUAAUGCCGCGGGGCUGCAUGGCCCUGCGGCCAAAGGGAGCGAUUCCGGCAACGGAUGGGCAUGCGUGACAUUAGCUAGUUGGCGGGGCAACGGCCCACCAAGGCGACGAUGUCUAGGGGUUCUGAGAGGAAGGUCCCCCACACUGGUACUGAGACACGGACCAGACUCCUACGGGAGGCAGCAG
This 260-nucleotide ribosomal RNA is filed under the name uncultured bacterium. Its description in RNAcentral is "partial 16S ribosomal RNA". It matches the Rfam family "Bacterial small subunit ribosomal RNA", at positions 99 to 354 of the family's 1533-position model. The record is from RNAcentral.